Molecule: ribosomal RNA, 253 nt
Filed under: uncultured bacterium
Lineage: Bacteria
Description: partial 16S ribosomal RNA
Rfam family: Bacterial small subunit ribosomal RNA
Source: RNAcentral
UACAGGGGGGGCGAGCGUUGUUCGGAAUUACUGGGCGUAAAGGGCUCGUAGGCGGUUUGUCGCGUCGGGAGUGAAAUCAUCUGGCUUAACUGGGUGCUUGCUUUCGAUACGGGCAGACUAGAGGUAUGCAGGGGAGAACGGAAUUCCUGGUGUAGCGGUGAAAUGCGCAGAUAUCAGGAGGAACACCGGUGGCGAAGGCGGUUCUCUGGGCAUGAUCUGACGCUGAGGAGCGAAAGUGUGGGGAGCGAACAGG